GGUCAGUGCACAGGUGCAUACAGUUCAGUUUCUGCCAGACACUCCCUGUGCCCCAAACUUUCCAAAUUUGCACCUAUCAAUCCCAAAACUGGAUUACUGUGGUGGUGUGUUCUCAGCAAUAACAACUGCAAGAAACUGUCUUUAUUCUGGAAGUUCUUCCACCAUAUCACUUGACAGCAAUUGUACCUCCAUCCAUCUACAGCAUCUGAUCCAUUUUUCCUCCCUCCUGUUUCUGUUCACAGGUCCAUUUUUCAUUCUUCCUGGAAUGUAGAGCAUUUGGGAGUAUGGGUGGGAAACCAAAAUCUUUCAACACUCACUAAUAGAAAUUUUUUUUAUUAAUUAACUUUGUGGGAAGAAAAGACAGAGAACUGAUCUUCUGCUCUGAAAUCAUGAAUCACUGUGGAAGAGAAAACAUGUCCUCUGAGGUACCUGAGGCCACUUCAGACAGAAUGAGUGACUGAGCUGCUUCCUUGGAAAGUCCUGAGUCAUCAAACACAGCAGUUUAAUCCCCAGGAAAUGGGAAACACAUUGGCAUGAUGUUCACUUGCAUGGAGCAUGAGGUCCAGAGAAGGGUGAAACUCCUAAGACUUUGGAGAUCAGUUUAGCUUGAGGAACUUAUGCAUUGUAAAGAGCUUCCUGAAAGCUAAAUUACUAUACUCAUGCUGAAUCAAGCAGCUCUAUCGAUUGCAGCACAGCCCACAGACCUCUUGCUGAAGGAAAAGAAGUCAGCUCUGGAUGUGGAAAAGCUCUCUGUCCUAAUGUGUGAGGUCUCUUUGCCUGACAACGUGAUAGUGAAGCCACCUAAAACCAGCCAGACACCUCCUGCAAGCGAGCUGGGCCAGUUGUCUGAAGAUGCCCAUGAGCACUGCUCUGGAAAAGCCAGUCUUUUUACUUGGACUAUAGAAGGCAUCUGCACAACUGUGUGAACAUACUCUGAGUUUUCCACCAGUUCCCUCAUGGCUCCUCACAACCGAAGAUGGGAGAGGAUCAGCAACCAUCUCAUAUUAACAAUAACCUCUAAAAAAGCUACUGGCACUGAUGGAAGCCAACAACUUCAGCGCAAGUUGGAUCAGCUUUAUCUCUAAUAACUAUAAACCAAAAUUUUCAUCUCAUACUCAUGACCUGAGGUGAAAAGAUCUGCGUUAGAGUUGGCUAGAAGCAGAAAAAGGAUGAAAAAUCAGCUUCUCCUGUGGAAACAAGAACGCUGAAAUUUGGCUAGGAAAUAAGACAGAGACCUCAUUUAAAUGGCCAGGAAAAAGAAAAUCUGCAGGAUGAAGGAAGUCUGUUUCACCAGCUAAGGACAAUUUUGUGCCAUGUUUUAUUUUACACUAAUGAAGAUUGCCAAGAGCCUAUUGAUCAGUCCUUCUUCCCUGCUUUACCUGACCAGAUAUAUGGAGACGCUCAGGGAAUACUGAAUUGCUCUCUACCUGCCCAACACAUUUUCAAUGAUGCCUCUGCUACAUUAAAUGUGGUCCUUCAGGAAAAAACUGAAAUUCCACCUGAAGAACAGCAGCCUGACACAGAGGUCUGCAAUGGAGAAGCAACGAAAACCCCACGGAGAGCGAAAGGAAAAACAGCUCUGAGGGAAAAUGAGCUGAAUGAAAUGUUUCUUUAAAGAAACCAUGGCACUUCUGAGCUGGUAUAAUGAAGCAGCUGUGAUAUAAAUAAUGUCCCCAAGUGGAAAAAACCCACAAAAACACCAGCCAUUCAGGCUCCAUAUGUUUCCAAACUCACACAAUGGAUGCUUUACAAUGCACUUUUUGUCUGGAAAUUGGGUGGGAAAGGGAGGUUCCUCACCCACCUCCUAUACUAAUGCAAUAAUCUUGCUUAGUCACAGAAAAAGGGAGAGAAAAAAGGAGAGAAAGUGAUUAAUAUACUGUGGGCAGCUGCUUACUUUCCAAUUGGUUGUCCAGGAGGGGUGUGCUCCACUUCAAAUCCUGCUUGUCU
Long non-coding RNA from Passer domesticus (house sparrow), 1947 nucleotides. RefSeq lists it as uncharacterized. The record is from RefSeq and is a predicted model, not a curated record. Lineage: Eukaryota; Metazoa; Chordata; Aves; Passeriformes; Passeridae. The transcript is spliced from 4 exons.